UACGUAGGUGGCAAGCGUUGUCCGGAUUUACUGGGCGUAAAGAGCGCGCAGGCGGCCGAGUAAGUCGAAUGUGAAAGCCCCCGGCUCAACUGGGGAAGGUCAUUCGAUACUGUUCGGCUCGAAGGCAGGAGAGGGAAGUGGAAUUCCCGGUGUAGUGGUGAAAUGCGUAGAUAUCGGGAGGAACACCAGUGGCGAAGGCGGCGAUCUGGGCUGAUACUGACGCUGAGGUGCGAAAGCGUGGGGAGCAAACAGG
This 253-nucleotide ribosomal RNA is filed under the name uncultured bacterium. RNAcentral's name for it is "partial 16S ribosomal RNA". It matches the Rfam family "Bacterial small subunit ribosomal RNA", at positions 524 to 776 of the family's 1533-position model. The record is from RNAcentral.